GCGGAUGUAGCGUAAUGGCAGCGCAGGAGACUGUGGAUCUUCAGGCCCGGGUUCGAUUCCCGGCUUCCGCC
Molecule: transfer RNA, 71 nt
Filed under: Candidatus Woesearchaeota archaeon ex4484_78
Lineage: Archaea; Nanobdellati; Candidatus Woesearchaeota
Also listed under: 1 other name
Description: tRNA-His
Rfam family: tRNA
About the family: Transfer RNA (tRNA) molecules are approximately 80 nucleotides in length. Their secondary structure includes four short double-helical elements and three loops (D, anti-codon, and T loops).
Source: RNAcentral